UAGGAUUAAAGGUGUGCGCCACC
RNAcentral lists this non-coding RNA (23 nucleotides) under Cricetulus griseus (Chinese hamster). Lineage: Eukaryota; Metazoa; Chordata; Mammalia; Rodentia; Cricetidae. The record is from RNAcentral.